This 1161-nucleotide ribosomal RNA is filed under the name Escherichia coli. RNAcentral describes it as "partial 23S ribosomal RNA". It matches the Rfam family "Bacterial large subunit ribosomal RNA", at positions 1 to 1194 of the family's 2925-position model. Lineage: Bacteria; Pseudomonadati; Pseudomonadota; Gammaproteobacteria; Enterobacterales; Enterobacteriaceae. The record is from RNAcentral.
GGGUUGUGAGGUUAAGCGACUAAGCGUACACGGUGGAUGCCCUGGCAGUCAGAGGCGAUGAAGGACGUGCUAAUCUGCGAUAAGCGUCGGUAAGGUGAUAUGAACCGUUAUAACCGGCGAUUUCCGAAUGGGGAAACCCAGUGUGUUUCGACACACUAUCAUUAACUGAAUCCAUAGGUUAAUGAGGCGAACCGGGGGAACUGAAACAUCUAAGUACCCCGAGGAAAAGAAAUCAACCGAGAUUCCCCCAGUAGCGGCGAGCGAACGGGGAGCAGCCCAGAGCCUGAAUCAGUGUGUGUGUUAGUGGAAGCGUCUGGAAAGGCGCGCGAUACAGGGUGACAGCCCCGUACACAAAAAUGCACAUACUGUGAGCUCGAUGAGUAGGGCGGGACACGUGGUAUCCUGUCUGAAUAUGGGGGGACCAUCCUCCAAGGCUAAAUACUCCUGACUGACCGAUAGUGAACCAGUACCGUGAGGGAAAGGCGAAAAGAACCCCGGCGAGGGGAGUGAAAAAGAACCUGAAACCGUGUACGUACAAGCAGUGGGAGCACGCUUAGGCGUGUGACUGCGUACCUUUUGUAUAAUGGGUCAGCGACUUAUAUUCUGUAGCAAGGUUAACCGAAUAGGGGAGCCGAAGGGAAACCGAGUCUUAACUGGGCGUUAAGUUGCAGGGUAUAGACCCGAAACCCGGUGAUCUAGCCAUGGGCAGGUUGAAGGUUGGGUAACACUAACUGGAGGACCGAACCGACUAAUGUUGAAAAAUUAGCGGAUGACUUGUGGCUGGGGGUGAAAGGCCAAUCAAACCGGGAGAUAGCUGGUUCUCCCCGAAAGCUAUUUAGGUAGCGCCUCGUGAAUUCAUCUCCGGGGGUAGAGCACUGUUUCGGCAAGGGGGUCAUCCCGACUUACCAACCCGAUGCAAACUGCGAAUACCGGAGAAUGUUAUCACGGGAGACACACGGCGGGUGCUAACGUCCGUCGUGAAGAGGGAAACAACCCAGACCGCCAGCUAAGGUCCCAAAGUCAUGGUUAAGUGGGAAACGAUGUGGGAAGGCCCAGACAGCCAGGAUGUUGGCUUAGAAGCAGCCAUCAUUUAAAGAAAGCGUAAUAGCUCACUGGUCGAGUCGGCCUGCGCGGAAGAUGUAACGGGGCUAAACCAUGCAC